UGCAUAUCAAAUAAGCGGAGGAAAAGAAACCAACAGGGAUUGCCUUAGUAACGGCGAGUGAACAGGCAAGAGCUCAGAUUUGAAAGCCUUUCGGGGCAUUGUAUUCUGAAGCCUUGAUUCUGAGAACCGGUACCUAAGUCUUCUGGAAAGGAGCGCCAAGGAGGGUGAUAGCCCCGUACGGUACUGACCUCAUUGUAGAAUCUUGGCGUGGAGUCGAGUUGUUUGGGAAUGCAGCUCAAAUGGGUGGUAUGCUCCAUCUAAAGCUAAAUAUCUGCGAGAGACCGAUAGCGAACAAGUACUGUGAAGGAAAGAUGAAAAGAACUUUGAAAAGAGAGUGAAAAAGUACGUGAAAUUGUUGAAAUGGAAGGAUAGGCCGCUAACCACGUAGAGCCGUGUCUGAGGGGAGGAUAAAAGCUGUAGAAUGUGGCUCUUCGGAGUGUUAUAGCUGCAGUGCAUACUCCCACUCGGGCGCGAGGACCUAAGGCUCUGCUAAAUGGUGGUCUAUCACCCGUCUUGAAMCACGGACCA
Molecule: ribosomal RNA, 528 nt
Filed under: Starmerella bombicola
Lineage: Eukaryota; Fungi; Ascomycota; Dipodascomycetes; Dipodascales; Trichomonascaceae
Description: partial 18S ribosomal RNA
Rfam family: Eukaryotic large subunit ribosomal RNA
Source: RNAcentral